This 453-nucleotide ribosomal RNA is filed under the name Acinetobacter gerneri. RNAcentral's name for it is "bacterial SSU rRNA". It matches the Rfam family "Bacterial small subunit ribosomal RNA", at positions 54 to 500 of the family's 1533-position model. The record is from RNAcentral. Lineage: Bacteria; Pseudomonadati; Pseudomonadota; Gammaproteobacteria; Moraxellales; Moraxellaceae.
CAUGCAAGUCGAGCGGGGAUAGGGUGCUUGCACCUGAUUCCUAGCGGCGGACGGGUGAGUAAUACUUAGGAAUCUGCCUAUUAGUGGGGGAUAACGGCUCGAAAGGGUCGCUAAUACCGCAUACGUCCUACGGGAGAAAGCAGGGGAUCGUAAGACCUUGCGCUAAUAGAUGAGCCUAAGUCGGAUUAGCUAGUUGGUGGGGUAAAGGCCUACCAAGGCGACGAUCUGUAGCGGGUCUGAGAGGAUGAUCCGCCACACUGGGACUGAGACACGGCCCAGACUCCUACGGGAGGCAGCAGUGGGGAAUAUUGGACAAUGGGGGGAACCCUGAUCCAGCCAUGCCGCGUGUGUGAAGAAGGCCUUAUGGUUGUAAAGCACUUUAAGCGAGGAGGAGGCUCCCGUAGCUAAUAUCUACGGAGAGUGGACGUUACUCGCAGAAUAAGCACCGGCUAA